GACGAACGCUGGCGGCGUGCUUAACACAUGCAAGUCGAACGGAAAGGCCCUGCUUUUGUGGUGUGCCCGAGUGGCGAACGGGUGAGUAACACGUGAGUAACCUGCCCUUGACUUUGGGAUAACUUCAGGAAACUGGGGCUAAUACCGGAUAGGAGCUCCUGCUGCAUGGUGGGGGUUGGAAAGUUUCGGCGGUUGGGGAUGGACUCGCGGCUUAUCAGCUUGCUGGUGGGGUAGUGGCUUACCAAGGCUGUGACGGGUAGCCGGCCUGAGAGGGUGACCGGCCACAAUGGGACUGAGAUACGGACCAGACGCCUACGGGAGGCAGCGGUGGGGAAUAUUGCACAGUGGGCGGAAGCCUGUGGCGGCAACGCCGCGUGCGGGAUGACGGCCUUCUGGUUGAAAACCGCUGUCGCCUGUGACGAAGCGUGAGUGACGGUAAUGGGUAAAGAAGCACCGGCUAACUACGUG
This 468-nucleotide ribosomal RNA is filed under the name uncultured bacterium. RNAcentral describes it as "partial 16S ribosomal RNA". It matches the Rfam family "Bacterial small subunit ribosomal RNA", at positions 28 to 507 of the family's 1533-position model. The record is from RNAcentral.